UAUCUACUCUCUCCGUUUCGAAUUAUUUAUCUUGAAUUUGUCUAAAUAUAGAUAUAUUUAAACUCAUUUUAGUGUUAGAUACAUCCAUAUCUAGACAAAUCUAAGACAGGUAAUUCAGAACGGAGGGAGUAGUAG
This is a non-coding RNA of Triticum urartu, 135 nucleotides long. NCBI's taxonomy places the organism in Eukaryota, Viridiplantae, Streptophyta, Magnoliopsida, Poales, Poaceae. The record is from Rfam.